CCGGCGACCGGCGGACGGGUGCGUAACGCGUAUGUAACCUACCUUUGACAGGGGGAUAACAUCGAGAAAUUGGUACUAAUACCCCAUAACAUCACCGGAGGCAUCUUCGGUGGUUGAAAACUCAGGUGGUCAGAGAUGGACAUGCGUUGUAUUAGCUAGUCGGUGAGGUAACGGCUCACCAAGGCGACGAUACAUAGGGGGACUGAGAGGUCAACCCCCCACAUUGGUACUGAGACACGGACCAAACUCCUACGGGAGGCAGCAG
This 265-nucleotide ribosomal RNA is filed under the name uncultured bacterium. Its description in RNAcentral is "partial 16S ribosomal RNA". It matches the Rfam family "Bacterial small subunit ribosomal RNA", at positions 88 to 354 of the family's 1533-position model. The record is from RNAcentral.